This 253-nucleotide ribosomal RNA is filed under the name uncultured bacterium. RNAcentral describes it as "partial 16S ribosomal RNA". It matches the Rfam family "Bacterial small subunit ribosomal RNA", at positions 524 to 776 of the family's 1533-position model. The record is from RNAcentral.
UACAGAGGUCUCAAGCGUUGUUCGGAUUCAUUGGGCGUAAAGGGUGUGUAGGUGGCGCGCUAAGUCGGGUGUGAAAUUUCGGAGCUUAACUCCGAAACUGCAUUCGAUACUGGCGUGCUUGAGGACUGGAGAGGAGACUGGAAUUCACGGUGUAGCAGUGAAAUGCGUAGAUAUCGUGAGGAAGACCAGUGGCGAAGGCGGGUCUCUGGACAGUUCCUGACGCUGAGGCGCGAAGGCCAGGGGAGCAAACGGG